GGAAUUGUGGCUCAGUGGUAGAGCACUCACCUAGCACAUGUGAGGUCCUGAGUUUGAUACUCAGCACCA
Molecule: transfer RNA, 69 nt
Filed under: Ictidomys tridecemlineatus (thirteen-lined ground squirrel)
Lineage: Eukaryota; Metazoa; Chordata; Mammalia; Rodentia; Sciuridae
Description: Spermophilus tridecemlineatus (thirteen-lined ground squirrel) tRNA
Rfam family: tRNA
About the family: Transfer RNA (tRNA) molecules are approximately 80 nucleotides in length. Their secondary structure includes four short double-helical elements and three loops (D, anti-codon, and T loops). Further hydrogen bonds mediate the characteristic L-shaped molecular structure. tRNAs have two regions of fundamental functional importance: the anti-codon, which is responsible for specific mRNA codon recognition, and the 3' end, to which the tRNAs corresponding amino acid is attached (by aminoacyl-tRNA synthetases). tRNAs cope with the degeneracy of the genetic code in two manners: having more than one tRNA (with a specific anti-codon) for a particular amino acid; and 'wobble' base-pairing, i.e. permitting non-standard base-pairing at the 3rd anti-codon position.
Source: Rfam by way of RNAcentral